This is a non-coding RNA of Phalacrocorax carbo (great cormorant), 2753 nucleotides long. The record is from RefSeq and is a predicted model, not a curated record. Lineage: Eukaryota; Metazoa; Chordata; Aves; Suliformes; Phalacrocoracidae.
CAUAACGUAGCAGCACAUAAUGGUUUGUGGGUUUUGAAAAGGUGCAGGCCAUAUUGUGCUGCCUCAAAAAUACAAGGAUUUCAUCAUCCUGAAGAGAAAUAUCACUUAUGAAUUAGUUGAUCUUGUGAUGCUGAUGUCUGUCAUACUUUAGCAGCACGUAAAUAUUGGUGUUAAGACUGUAAAUAUCUCCAGUAUUAACUGUGCUGCUGAAGUAAGGCUAGCCACCUCUGCAUGUGAGUCAUGGAAAAGGACAUUCCAUGUAUUUCCUGAUGCCUUUUUGUUGUUAUAAUUUAUACGUGGAUUGUUUAUGAAUGCUUUCCUGGCUUUUGUUUGUAUUUUCAUCUAUUCAGAAACAAUAUUUAGGACUUCAUAGUAUCUGAUGGUAAAUACAGAAUAGGCAUAUGUAUAUAACUUUGAAUGCUUUGGUUUACAUGAAAGCUGAAUUUAUUAAGGGAGCCAUCUCAAGCUACACCUGUCAAACAGUGCUUUGGUAAGUGUGUUUAUAUGUAUUUAAAAAAUUAUAAAAUUUUGUUACUUUAAAUGUCACUAUUUCUUUAUUAAAACUCUCAAAACUGUGUUCAUUUUUACAGCAUUUUCUUAGUGAAUGAAACUGGGAAAUGUUUUGUCAUAUUUUUAACAAAGUGAGCACAUAAAGCAAAAGUGUCUUCCAAAAUUUUUAACAAAACUCAUUAAACACUUCAUUUCUUAAAUCACUGUCUCUAUAGACAGGUAACAAUUUUAUGGUUAGAAGCUUAAACUGUAUAUCUGACUGUGAAUUUACUAAUUUUUUUCUCAUCUUCCACUAAGAUGUUUCUCUUGCAGGGGAAUCUUUCAUUGAGAUGAUUGAAAUCACUGCAGUGAGAAUGGAAAUUACUUGGGCUCCUUUCCUUUUAAAAGCUGCAUGCAAGAACUGUGUGGGUGAGUUUUCUGCUGAUUCAACGAGUUAAACCAGUUCAGUGCAAGAUUAGAUGAUCACCAGGUCUAACAUCAAAGGGGUGAGGAAAAGAGGAACAAGAUUUUUCCCUUUCUGUGGAAGCAAGCCAUUAAUGUGACUCAAGCUGUAACAGGUUUGUGUUCCCCAUCAGUAAGGUUUCUCUGAAGCCAUGCUACCAAAGACCUGUCAGAUUGGAAUUGUCUCCUAGGGUGAAAGACCAAGGAAAAGAGGUGUAAAUGCCUCCAUAAAGCUCGUGGCAGUGGAGAAGCAAGUCCCAGCGGAUUUUACUAGCAGGGCGAAGAGGAAUUAUUUUUCUGAGAACUGAUUAGCCACAUUGUAUUACAUGCUGUAACAACGGGAGAGAGUUCUCCUCUCUCUAACGAGUUUGGCAUUAUCAGGGAACCUUCCUGAACCAUACUUGCCCACAGCCAGCAGAUCUACUUUGCAGGGCUAAUGAGAGACUGUUGUGUUUUGUAAAUGAAGCUCUGAGCUAGAGAACAAAACAAGUCAGUGACCAUCGUUUCCUUUCAGCAGGACUUCCAAAUAUGCCUGCAUUUAUGAAAUGGAUGGGACUGGUCUUUUUCCCAUUCUUCUAACAUGGUUCCCAGACAAAAUGUCUCUACUGCUACUGUUUGAGGAAAUAAAGUUAAAACCCUGUGAGUGACAAACAUGUUUAGGCAUGCUGAGCAUAAUUUUGCUUCCAGUGUGGGAGGGUCCUAAAUACUUGGCCUCCCCAGUGAAAGAAAGGCACAUUCAAGAAAGGCAGAAGCUGAAUUAACCCUUCAUUACCAAGCACAAUUAUACUUCCAAAUAUUGAAGCCCAGGUCUUCAUUUCCGUGGGGCAAUUUUUGUGCACUGUAAAAAUGUUGGUGUUCAAAUAUGCUCUAAACAGGCUGACAAGCACAUUUACCAAUACAGUACUAUCCUGCUGGAGUUGGUCAUCUCCUCCUCCAAGAAAGGCAUAUGAAUAAGGCACGUUUCUUACCAGCUGACUUUUGCCUUACUUCCACUGGAGCAACGUGGUUACCUGCUUGAUUUUGUCCAGCGCUGGAGCCUUCACUCAGGGCACGCAUACAUCUUUGCUGCUGUUCCUGCACAAUCCAUUGUGUUCCUGGACAACCCAAGUUGUCACCAGCUGCUGUCAGGGUGCUCGGCGGCCAGGCUCUGCACCUGGAGGGAGACGGGAUGGGCGCAGGGAUGAGAGUUGCACUGACCUUGGUCCCACCAUGCACAUAGGAACUGGAGUCAGUGUGCUCCAAAGCAGCACCGGCAACUUCUCUGAGCUGUGGCACGCACCCCACAAGUGCUGCAGUCUGCUGGCCUGUAAAACCAGCCUCUCAAGUUAAGAAAGCAGUGGAGCAGGAAACUGGUAGGGAGGCACAGCCAGCCACUGCUCCCUGAAGCUCCAUCCGCUUGAGUCCAACUGAUUUGCAAUGCUGACUUUGUGUGGUGAGAUGUAUUUGUUUUCCUAGUGCUUAUUUUGGGGAAGAAAGGACUUACUGGGGCACAGAGAAAAAAAUGGUCCAGGGAGUUGCUUGGAGGUUGAAUCUCUCUCUAAUUUUUUUUUUUUUUAAGUAUAUUAACAUUUGUCAUUUAGCAUUUACUGUAACAAACCCGCAGCGUGUGACAGACAAUAAAAAUCCUGCAGUGACUUAAAUGGGACUAAUUAUGUGAACAACAAGCUACCAAUGAGAAUCGUGAUGCCCUCCAUACGAAAUAAAUAAACAUCAGCUUCCACCUAAUAUUUACUUCUUAGAAGUUCAAGACUAAUCCCAUUUGGCAUAUUUUGAGGAAGUGAGCUCUUGACCCCAAAUGUUUA